CCUACGGGUGGCAGCAGUAGGGAAUAUUGCUCAAUGGGGGAAACCCUGAAGCAGCAACGCCGCGUGGAGGAUGAAGGUUUUAGGAUUGUAAACUCCUUUUGUUAGAGAAGAUUAUGACGGUAUCUAACGAUUUACCACUUGCUAACUCCGUCCCAGCAGCCGCGGUAAUACGCAGGGUGCAAGCGUUAAUCGGAAGCACUGGUCGUAAAGAGUGCGUAUGCUGGUUAAUAAGUCAGAUGUGAAAUCCUGUUGCUUAACUACAGAACUGCAUUUGAAACUGUUACUCUGGAGUGUGGGAGAGGUAGGUGGAAUUCUUGGUGUAGGGGUAAAAUGCGUAGAGAUCAAGAGGAAUACUCAUUGCGAAGGCGACCUGCUGGAACAAUACUGACGCUGAUGCACGAAAGCGUGGGGAGCAAACAGGAUUAGAUACCCUAGUAGUG
Molecule: ribosomal RNA, 440 nt
Filed under: uncultured bacterium
Lineage: Bacteria
Description: partial 16S ribosomal RNA
Rfam family: Bacterial small subunit ribosomal RNA
Source: RNAcentral